Non-coding RNA from Cinara cedri, 408 nucleotides. Lineage: Eukaryota; Metazoa; Arthropoda; Insecta; Hemiptera; Aphididae. The record is from the annotation of a GenBank genome assembly.
CAGCCAAAAUUAUUAAAAGCCAACUCGAAUCGAAUCGUAAAUAAAUACAAUUAAUAUAGGCGUUGGCGGUUUGCAAAGGGCACGAAAAAACCCUGAAGAAUGCAUAUUUCGCUAUUGUUGAAUGUUUAUUAAAAUUUAAUCAACCGAUCAACAUCCCGAAUUAAUGAAAUAUAUUAUUUGAGGCUGUUGGAUCGAAUGUUGUCAGUAGCUUCAGUAUAUAUAUAUAUAUACAGUGCCAUCCGACUGAUCACUCGCUAUUCGCGAGAGAAAAUUAAUGUAUUAUAAUCACGAACGCGUUUGCGAAUCACGGAAACUGAAAAUUUAAAAUUACGGAAAACGAGGUUUAUUCCGAAGGAGAAACGUAAACAGAAUCGAGAAUUCCAUUGGAAACCGUUCGAGUGAAAGAGA